This 497-nucleotide ribosomal RNA is filed under the name uncultured bacterium. Its description in RNAcentral is "partial 16S ribosomal RNA". It matches the Rfam family "Bacterial small subunit ribosomal RNA", at positions 28 to 507 of the family's 1533-position model. The record is from RNAcentral.
GAUGAACGCUGGCGGCGUGCCUAAUACAUGCAAGUCGAGCGAACGGACGAGAAGCUUGCUUCUCUGAUGUUAGCGGCGGACGGGUGAGUAACACGUGGAUAACCUACCUAUAAGACUGGGAUAACUUCGGGAAACCGGAGCUAAUACCGGAUAAUAUUUUGAACCGCAUGGUUCAAUAGUGAAAGACGGUCUUGCUGUCACUUAUAGAUGGAUCCGCGCUGCAUUAGCUAGUUGGUAAGGUAACGGCUUACCAAGGCAACGAUGCAUAGCCGACCUGAGAGGGGGAUCGGCCAAACUGGAACGGAGACACGGGCCAGACUCCUACGGGAGGCAGCAGGAGGGAAUCUUCCGCAAUGGGGGAAAGCCUGACGGAGCAACGCCGCGUGAGGGAUGAAGGGCUUCGGAUCGGAAAACUCUGUUAUUAGGGAAGAACAAAUGUGGAAGUAACUGUGCACAGCUUGACGGUACCUAAUCAGAAAGCCACGGCUAACUACGUG